GAUUAUGGCUCAGAUGAACGCUGGCGGCGUGCUUAACACAUGCAAGUCGAACGCGAAAGGGACUUCGGUCCUGAGUAAAGUGGCGCACGGGUGAGUAACGCGUGGAUAAUCUGCCCUUAUGAUCGGGAUAACAGUUGGAAACGGCUGCUAAUACCGGAUACGCUCAAAAUGAACUUUUUGAGGAAAGAUGGCCUCUGCUUGCAUGCUAUCACGUAAGGAUGAGUCCGCGUCCCAUUAGCUUGUUGGCGGGGUAACGGCCCACCAAGGCAACGAUGGGUAGCCGAUUUGAGAGGAUGAUCGGCCACACUGGAACUGAAACACGGUCCAGACUCCUACGGGAGGCAGCAGUGGGGAAUAUUGCGCAAUGGGCGAAAGCCUGACGCAGCGACGCCGCGUGAGGGAUGAAGGUUUUCGGAUCGUAAACCUCUGUCAGAAGGGAAGAAACUACGUUGUGCUAAUCAGCAGCGUACUGACGGUACCUUCAAAGGAAGCACCGGCUAACUCCGUGCCAGCCGCGGC
Molecule: ribosomal RNA, 519 nt
Filed under: uncultured bacterium
Lineage: Bacteria
Description: bacterial SSU rRNA
Rfam family: Bacterial small subunit ribosomal RNA
Source: RNAcentral